RNAcentral lists this ribosomal RNA (283 nucleotides) under uncultured prokaryote. RNAcentral describes it as "partial 16S ribosomal RNA". It matches the Rfam family "Bacterial small subunit ribosomal RNA", at positions 524 to 817 of the family's 1533-position model. The record is from RNAcentral.
UACGUAGGGGGCUAGCGUUAUCCGGAAUUACUGGGCGUAAAGGGUGCGUAGGUGGUUUCUUAAGUCAGAGGUGAAAGGCUACGGCUCAACCGUAGUAAGCCUUUGAAACUAGGAAACUUGAGUGCAGGAGAGGAGAGUGGAAUUCCUAGUGUAGCGGUGAAAUGCGUAGAUAUUAGGAGGAACACCAGUUGCGAAGGCGGCUCUCUGGACUGUAACUGACACUGAGGCACGAAAGCGUGGGGAGCAAACAGGAUUAGAUACCCCCGUAGUCCCUGAGCGGGCU